RNAcentral lists this unclassified non-coding RNA (263 nucleotides) under plant metagenome. Its description in RNAcentral is "partial contains small subunit ribosomal RNA, internal transcribed spacer 1, and 5.8S ribosomal RNA". The record is from RNAcentral.
UAUCCGUAGGUGAACCUGCGGAAGGAUCAUUAUUGUAUAACCGAGGUGCGAGGGCUGUCGCUGACCCGAAAGGUCGUGCACGCCCGAGUGCCCUCACACACAUCCAUCUCACCCCUAUUUGCACCACCGCGUGGGUCCCCCUUUGGCUUGUUCGGAGGGGGGCUUACGUUUUCACACAAACUUUGUAUGCAGUGUAGAAUGUAUUUUUUGUUUUUGCGAUCACGCAAUCAAUACAACUUUCAACAACGGAUCUCUUGGCUCUC